GAUGAACGCUGGCGGCGUGCCUAAUACAUGCAAGUCGAGCGAACGGACGAGAAGCUUGCUUCUCUGAUGUUAGCGGCGGACGGGUGAGUAACACGUGGAUAACCUACCUAUAAGACUGGGAUAACUUCGGGAAACCGGAGCUAAUACCGGAUAAUAUUUUGAACCGCAUGGUUCAAAAGUGAAAGACGGUCUUGCUGUCACUUAUAGAUGGAUCCGCGCUGCAUUAGCUAGUUGGUAAGGUAACGGCUUACCAAGGCAACGAUGCAUAGCCGACCUGAGAGGGGGACGCGCAAAAAGGGGACUGAGACACGGCCAGGAAGAAGACGGGAGGCAGCAGUAGGGAAUCAUCCGCGAUGGACGAAAGUCUGACGGUGCAACGACGCGUGAAUGAUGGAGGGUUGCGGAUAGUAAAGCUCAGUUGAGAGGGAAGAAAAAGGGAGGUUCGAAACGGGCCACCCCCUGACGGUACCUCACCAGAAGGCCCCGGCUAACUAAGUG
RNAcentral lists this ribosomal RNA (498 nucleotides) under uncultured bacterium. RNAcentral describes it as "partial 16S ribosomal RNA". It matches the Rfam family "Bacterial small subunit ribosomal RNA", at positions 28 to 507 of the family's 1533-position model. The record is from RNAcentral.